ACCUUUACUACAUGGAUAACCGUGGUAAUUCUAGAGCUAAUACAUGCUAAAAGCCCCGACUUCGGGAGGGGCGUAUUUAUUAGAUAAAAAACCAACGCCCUUCGGGGCUCCUUGGUGAUUCAUAAUAACUAAACGGAUCGCAUGGCCUUGCGCCGGCGACGGUUCAUUCAAAUUUCUGCCCUAUCAACUUUCGAUGGUAGGAUAGUGGCCUACCAUGGUAGCAACGGGUAACGGGAAAUUAGGGUUUGAUUCCGGAGAGUGAGCCUGAGAAACGGCUGACACAUCCAAGGAAGGCAGCAGGCGCGCAAAUUACCCAAUGCCAACUCUGGCGAGGUAGUGACAAUAAAUACUGAUACAGGGCUCUUUUGGGUCUUGUAAUCGGAAUGAGAACAAUUUAAAUCCCUUAACGAGGAACAAUUGGAGGGCAAGUCUGGUG
This 436-nucleotide ribosomal RNA is filed under the name Neolophiostoma pigmentatum. Its description in RNAcentral is "SSU rRNA". It matches the Rfam family "Eukaryotic small subunit ribosomal RNA", at positions 128 to 566 of the family's 1831-position model. Lineage: Eukaryota; Fungi; Ascomycota; Dothideomycetes; Pleosporales; Halotthiaceae. The record is from RNAcentral.